CUUCACGCAUCGUAUUUAGAGUUGAAAAUUAUUUUCAACUACAAGAAUGGAUGUAAAUCCUUCGUUUCAAUGAAAAAUAAUAAAUUCUUCUAUUUGCCAAUUGAUAAAAAAGAAACUCAAGAAAAUGUAUCUAUAUAAUUUGACUCUUCAACGUGCAACUGGUAUCACUCAUGCAGUGCAUGGAAAUUUUUCUGGGAGUAAAAUGCAAGAAAUUCUGGUUUCACGUGGCAAGUCUUUAGAGCUGUUAAGACCUGACCCAAAUACUGGAAAAGUACAUACUCUUCUGACUGUAGAAGUAUUUGGAAUCAUAAGGUCUUUAAUGGCCUUUAGAUUGACUGGUGGUACAAAAGACUAUAUCGUUGUUGGAUCAGACUCUGGUCGCAUUGUAAUUUUGGAAUACAUUCCUGCCAAAAAUGUGUUCGAGAAAGUGCAUCAAGAAACAUUUGGGAAAAGUGGAUGUAGACGCAUUGUACCUGGACAAUACUUAGCUAUAGAUCCUAAAGGAAGAGCUGUAAUGAUAGGUGCAAUUGAGAAACAAAAACUUGUUUAUAUUCUGAAUAGAGAUCCAGAAGCUCGUCUUACAAUUUCUUCACCUUUGGAAGCACAUAAGAGCAAUACAUUAGUUUAUCAUACUGUGGGAGUAGAUGUGGGUUUUGAAAAUCCUAUGUUUGCCUGUUUAGAAAUUGAUUAUGAGGAAGCAGAUAGUGAUCCAACAGGAGACGCAGCAGUGAAGACGCAACAAACAUUAACUUUAUAUGAACUUGAUCUUGGUUUAAAUCAUGUUGUGCGUAAAUAUAGUGAACCUUUAGAAGAACAUGCGAACUUUCUUGUAUCUGUUCCUGGAGGAAAUGAUGGACCAAGUGGUGUUCUUAUUUGUUCCGAAAAUUAUUUAACAUACAAAAAUUUAGGGGAUCAGCACGAUAUUCGUUGUCCAAUUCCAAGGAGACGUAAUGAUUUAGAUGAUCCUGAAAGAGGCAUGAUAUUUGUUUGUUCUGCUACUCACAAGACCAAGAGUAUGUUUUUCUUUUUGGCUCAAACAGAACAAGGAGAUAUCUUUAAAAUUACACUUGAGACAGAUGAAGAUAUGGUGACUGAGAUUAAAUUAAAGUACUUUGACACUGUACCUGUAGCAGCAAGCAUGUGUGUUUUGAAAACUGGUUUUUUAUUUGUAGCUUCAGAAUUUGGUAACCAUUAUCUCUACCAAAUUGCACAUUUAGGAGAUGAUGACGAUGAGCCGGAAUUUAGUUCUGCUAUGCCUCUGGAAGAAGGUGAUACAUUCUUUUUUGCACCAAGACCACUUAGAAAUUUAGUACUGGUUGAUGAAAUGGAUAGUUUAUCACCAAUAAUGGCAUGUCAGGUAGCUGAUUUAGCAAAUGAAGAUACUCCACAAUUAUAUAUAACUUGUGGUAGAGGACCACGAUCUACAUUGCGGGUGUUACGGCAUGGUUUAGAAGUAUCUGAAAUGGCUGUCAGUGAACUGCCUGGUAAUCCAAAUGCUGUGUGGACUGUUAAAAGAAGAGUUGAUGAGGAGUAUGAUGCUUACAUCAUAGUGUCCUUCGUCAAUGCUACUCUUGUACUUAGUAUCGGAGAAACUGUAGAAGAAGUGACAGAUUCUGGAUUUCUCGGUACAACGCCAACACUGAGUUGUUCUGCUCUGGGAGAAGAUGCCCUGGUGCAGGUAUAUCCCGAUGGGAUACGUCAUAUUCGAGCAGACAAACGUGUAAAUGAAUGGAAAGCUCCCGGUAAAAAAACAAUAGUAAAGUGUGCAGUGAAUCAACGUCAGGUUGUAAUUGCACUUACUGGGGGAGAAUUAGUAUACUUCGAAAUGGAUCCCACGGGGCAAUUGAAUGAAUAUACAGAACGAAAGAAGAUGCCAUCAGAAGUAAUGUGUAUGGCUCUUGGUAACGUAGCUAUUGGUGAACAAAGAUCAUGGUUCUUAGCUGUCGGUCUCCAAGACAAUACUGUGAGGAUUAUUUCCCUGGAUCCUUCGGAUUGUUUAGCACCUAGAAGUAUGCAAGCUCUACCAGCGGCCGCGGAAAGUUUAUGUAUUGUUGAAAUGGGUGCUAAAGAUGCAAAUAAUUCUGAAGAGCUAUCACCUCAGCAAUCCAGUCUCUAUCUAAAUAUAGGUUUACAAAACGGCGUCUUGUUAAGAACAGUAUUAGAUCCAAUUUCCGGUGACCUUGCGGAUACGCGUACGCGAUACUUGGGUUCCCGAGCUGUUAAGCUAUUUAGAAUCAAAAUGCAGGGAAAUCAAGCUGUACUUGCAAUGAGUAGCAGAUCGUGGCUGAGUUAUUAUUAUCAAAAUCGUUUUCAUUUAACACCACUAUCUUAUGAAAGUUUAGAAUUUGCAUCAGGCUUUAGUUCUGAACAAUGUCCUGAGGGAAUUGUUGCUAUUUCGACAAAUACGCUUAGAAUUUUAGCCCUCGAAAAGUUAGGCGCGGUAUUUAAUCAAAUUAGUUUCCCUUUGGAAUAUACUCCGAGAAAAUUUGCAAUUCACUCGGAUUCUGCACAUCUGAUAAUUAUUGAAACAGAACAUAAUGCGUAUACGGAAGAAACAAAACAGCAAAGAAGAUUACAAAUGGCAGAAGAAAUGCAAGAAGCAGCAGGGGCAGAAGAGGCCGUAGUAGCUAGAGAAUUGGCGGAAGCUUUCUUAUCCGAGGAACCCAAUGAGUCUGUGUUUGGAGCACCAAGAGCUGGACCAGGUUUAUGGGCAUCGUUAAUAAGAAUAAUAGCUCCCACAACGGGACAGACAUUUGAAGUUCAUCGUCUCGAGCAAAAUUUGGCUGCUUUAUGUUUAAGCCUUGUGAAAUUCGCUAAUCAGGGUGAUCAGCUAUUUCUCAUAGUUGGUAUUGCGAAAGAGUUUCAGUUGAAUCCAAGAGUUAGUAGUGGUGGCUUCUUGUAUACAUAUAAAGUAAACAGUGAAUGCACUAAUCUUGAAUUAGUGCAUAAAACUACUUUAGAUGAAGUACCUUUGGCUAUAUGUCCAUACCAAGGUAGGGUAUUAGUUGGCGUUGGUAGAAUGUUGCGUCUGUACGAUAUGGGCAAGAAAAAGUUGUUGAGAAAAUGUGAAAACAAACAUAUUCCCAAUGCUGUUGUCUCCAUCAAUGCAAUUGGACAAAGAAUUUACGUGAGUGACGUUCAAGAAUCCGUUUACGCUGUUAGAUACAAACGCCAAGAAAAUCAGUUGAUAGUCUUUGCUGAUGAUACACAUCCGCGGUGGAUAACGACAACUUGCGUAUUAGAUUAUGAUACAGUUGCUACCGCUGAUAAAUUUGGAAACAUUGCUGUUAUACGCUUAGCAAGUGGAAUUAACGACGAUGUAGAUGAAGACCCAACUGGCAACAAAGCUUUGUGGGAUAGAGGUUUAUUAAAUGGUGCCAGCCAAAAGGCAGAUACAGUUGCUUGCUUUCAUGUUGGUGAGACAGUCAUGUCUUUACAAAAAGCAACCCUUAUUCCCGGCGGUUCGGAAAGUUUAGUGUAUACAACAUUAAGUGGAACAGUUGGUGUUCUUGUUCCCUUUACCAGCCAUGAAGACCAUGACUUUUUUCAACAUUUAGAAAUGCAUAUGCGUUCAGAACAUCCACCACUUUGUGGAAGAGAUCACUUAUCAUUCAGAUCUUAUUAUUAUCCCGUAAAAAAUGUUAUAGACGGAGAUCUUUGUGAACAAUUCAAUUCUAUUGAACCGGUAAAACAGAAGAGUAUAUCUGGAGAUCUUGAACGAACAUCUUCCGAAGUAUCGAAGAAGCUCGAGGAUAUUCGCACACGAUACGCUUUCUAAGGAUAAAAUAUGUUCUACUGAUUUUACAAUUCAAUGUGUAUUCCGAAUAUGUGUGGUAUAAACUCUAACGUAACAUAAAGUGAGGACUGCAAUGUUGAAAACGUUUUUGACAAUGUUUAUCCUUGUUACAAUUUGACGAGGAAAAAAGCUAAAACUGAACCCCGAUGUAUAGCGAAGGAAAAAAUAGAAAAUGCCUUGUUGACCUAUUUCACCAUUCUAAAUACAACAUGCGCAUAACAGUGAACAAUAUACUGCUAAACAGUUCAAUUAAAAAUGAAUAAUUAAUUUUUA
RNAcentral lists this unclassified non-coding RNA (4069 nucleotides) under Eufriesea mexicana. RNAcentral describes it as "splicing factor 3B subunit 3, transcript variant X2". The record is from RNAcentral. Lineage: Eukaryota; Metazoa; Arthropoda; Insecta; Hymenoptera; Apidae.